ACCAGCAAUCACAUUCUGUUCUAGAAGCUCAGUAGAUUCAGUCCUGGGAGAGGAACUUGAGCAAAGGAAAGGGAAGUUACUGAGGAGAGAUGCGUCAGAGCCGAUUCAAAGAUCCAUCAGUCAAUUACAGUUGAGAUCUUAGUGUUUUUGUAUUUUGGCCAAAACUGGACUAGAUGGUGUCAACUAGAGCAAAAUUAUUUCUGAAUUACUGCAUCACCGUGAAAAGAGGAUGGACUAACCUUCUGGUUCCAGGAGAAAGACGACAGACUUGGAAACUGAAUUGGCCCAUCCACUGCAGCUGAAAUCUGCCACCUUAACCUCCUGCAGAGCUUCAAUGAGAAGCAGAGAUCAGCCAAGGGCCUCUGAGCACCUAGACAACUCAGAGAUGUGUGAAUGGUGAUACAGAAUUGCUGCUUUAAACCCCUCAGCUUUGUGGUAGUUACACGGGAAUAGCUACUACAAGGAAGUGGCACAGACCCCGGACCCAGAGCUGAUACACAGGAUGUCACUGGGAGAAACAGGGAAAGAAUGUGCUUAUCUUCCAAUGUCUACGGUUUCACAUUCUGGGAUUUCAGUUACCUGCAUUUAACAGAGGCUGCCUGACAAUAUUAAAUUAAAAAUUCCCAAAGUAAACAAUUUGUAAGUUUUAGAAUGCAUACCAUUCUGAAUAUCAUAACUAAAUCUCAUGCUAUUUUACUUUGUUCUUCUCA
This 710-nucleotide long non-coding RNA is filed under the name Rhinopithecus bieti (black snub-nosed monkey). RNAcentral's name for it is "lncRNA (ENSRBIG00000045138.1)". The record is from RNAcentral. Lineage: Eukaryota; Metazoa; Chordata; Mammalia; Primates; Cercopithecidae.